Molecule: long non-coding RNA, 1462 nt
Filed under: Calidris pugnax (ruff)
Lineage: Eukaryota; Metazoa; Chordata; Aves; Charadriiformes; Scolopacidae
Description: lncRNA (ENSCPUG00000019296.1)
Source: RNAcentral
GGAUUAAAGAGAGGAUAAGAGAAGCAGAAGACUCAGGCCAGAGCUGAGCUCCCUUUGCAGCACAGAUGAUGAAGCCUUUCAUGAAGAGCUGACUGAUGAAUCUGGGCAUCUUUCAAUGUCCUGAAUAAUGAGCCGGUUCUUCCCUCUUGCCGAGAAACAUAUGGGAUGUGAGGAAAAUCAGCUGGAAACCCAGCCACGUCUCUCCCGUUCCCUACGGACGGAAAACCAGUGCCUUGAAUGCCCCGGAAAGCUGAGGUUUCUUGUCCAACAGAGAUGGAUGCUGGCUGGGCUAAGGAAUCUGCUCUGCUGCCUUUUUUCAACAUAUAUCUGCUCGAAACUCCUGACCCCAUGGAAACGUCCCAAAGGUCGUAUCUUUCAGUUUCCAGUAUUCCUUCAUCUUUGAGAAAGACACUUUCCAAGAGAGGAGAAGGUGGUAAGAGGAUAGCGAUGUAAAUAUCUGUCCAUGACACGCCUUAAUAUUGAUUUCAGUGGCUUUAAUUUCAUUUAUCCCCAGAAUAUUUAUAGAAAGUUCUAAUAACGAGGACUAAACCCACAUUUUUUUCCUUUUCUUUAUUUCCCAUCUUUUUUUUUUUUUAAUUCUUUUUCCAAAAGUCAUAAAAGACCACGCUUUAUCAUGGAUUUAAUGAUGCUUAAAGAUGCAGGUUCUUCGUGGGCUUUGUUUUCAAAGUGUUUUCUUUAUUUCCCAUCUUUUUUUUUUUUUUCUUUUUCCAGAAGUCAUUAUAGACCACACUUUAUGAUGGACUUAAUGACGCUUAAAGAUGCAGGUUCUUCGUGGGCUUCAUUUUCAAAGCAUGAAGAUCUUAGUAGCAUAGACCACCUCGUGCAGGGAGGAUGAAGGUCAUUGAAGCAGCAAAGAGAGGCCGUGGCACAGGACAGGUCUGAAUGGGCUCCAUCAGUCUCGCUCCCCACACCUUAAAAGGCAGGGUGCUCACAGCAUAGGGUCUGUGAUACAUGACUGGAUUGUUUGGACUCCAUCCAGCGGAGGGUGGUGAUAGACAUCUGCCCCAAAAGCAAUUAACUGCGAUGGAUUUGGAGAGACAAAAUAAUCCAGUGGUCAUCUACCACCUCAAGGAAGGGAGCUUGGGACAAAAUUUCCAUCUGGGAAAGAACUUCAAAAAGCAGAACCUCCCCCUUGGGCGCAGCUCUCCAGGACCUUUAGGGGCUGCACCCCAAGAGAAAUAUCCCCCCCCAACCCUGUGCUGCAAACGGUGGGGUGCAGGAGCCGAGGAGCGGGGUCCAUCCUCGAGCCAGCGAGAGCCACCAGCAUCCCAGGACAGACGUGCCAGCACAGACCACACCAACCCGAGCCAUCUGCCAGGAUCCAAAGCACGGCAGGUGGGAUUAGAGGAUUUAGGCGACUAAUUGCAGAAUUUACUUUGGUACCGAAGCGUUUGUGCGAGGGGGAGAGAGGGGAGGGGGGAUUAACACAACUGCCGGAGAG